Molecule: ribosomal RNA, 402 nt
Filed under: uncultured bacterium
Lineage: Bacteria
Description: bacterial SSU rRNA
Rfam family: Bacterial small subunit ribosomal RNA
Source: RNAcentral
GGGCCCGCACAAGCGGUGGAGCAUGUGGUUUAAUUCGAUGAUACGCGAGGAACCUUACCAGGGCUUAAAUGUAGAUUGCAUUAGCUAGAGAUAGCUAUUUCUUCGGACUAUCUACAAGGUGCUGCAUGGUUGUCGUCAGCUCGUGCCGUGAGGUGUCAGGUUAAGUCCUAUAACGAGCGCAACCCCUGUUGUUAGUUGCCAGCGAGUCAAGUCGGGAACUCUAACAAGACUGCCAGUGCAAACUGUGAGGAAGGUGGGGAUGACGUCAAAUCAUCACGGCCCUUACGUCCUGGGCUACACACGUGCUACAAUGGUAGGGACAGAGAGCAGCCACUGGGCGACCAGGAGCAAAUCUAUAAACCCUAUCACAGUUCGGAUCGGAGUCUGCAACUCGACUCCGUG